ACGGGACGGGACCAGGCGGAACAGCUGCUCCGCACACGGGACCCCAUCCCCGCUGCCCCGGGGCUACAGCGACCCGCGGGCCCCGGGCCGGGCAUUACCCCAUCGCUGCCCGCGCCGGGGACACGAAGGGCUCACGGCUGGCUAAAGGCGGCUUCAGGGCCGGGAGGAACGGAGCGCUGGCAGCGGGGCCGGACACGGAACCUGCCCGGGCACACGCGGGGAAGCUGCCGCAGCGUGGAGACCCCCAUGCGCCGCUCCCCGACACUGCGCCGGGGACGCAGCCCGGGGGCGAACCCUCGCCGCGCCGUGCGGGUUAAACAUCCCCUGCCCAGGGGAGCUGAGCCCCCCCAACUCCCCAGUGCUGGGGGUGGGUAAACGGGGGCCGGUCUCCUGCAGCAGGAAGAGCCCGCCCGCCUCAGAGGGGCUCAGUCCCGGCAAAGUAACAAAGAAGCGCCGUGAAACUGCCCGAACCCUGAGGAGGUCGGAGACGCCGGUGCCCAUGCGGGACGCCAACAGCUGUGCAGCCGCCCGGGCCAGCAGUCCGGCGGGGCGGGCGGCCGCGGAGGGAGGCGGUGACCGGGACAGCGCCGCGAGUGGGGCGCUGCCCCGCUGCAAGACCCGGUCGGCGGGGCCAAAGGCCACGGCCCCGUUCAAGAGCCCCGGUGCCCCCCCGAGCUUGGCCGUCGCUGCGCCGGAGCCCCCAGCCCCGCCGCGGCGCCCCGGGGAGCGGUGGCGGCCCGCUCCCAACAGGGGGCAGCCGCGCUCGCCGCAGCCGCGGGAGGCGGCGG
Corvus hawaiiensis (hawaiian crow) is the source of this 788-nucleotide long non-coding RNA. RefSeq lists it as uncharacterized. Lineage: Eukaryota; Metazoa; Chordata; Aves; Passeriformes; Corvidae. The record is from RefSeq and is a predicted model, not a curated record. The transcript has 3 exons.